GGAAAACAAUACAAAAAAACAUACUAUACUGCAGGGCUUUUUUCACAAAGCUCUCUCUCUACAUUAGCCGAAAAGUAAUGGCAUCUAACAUUUACAAUGAAUUGAUUACUUUUCUUACAGGACGAGAACAAAGAUUUUAAGUGUUUUGACAAUUAUAUAUUGAGAAAUCUAGUAACACAACACAUCUAUAGAACUUCCAUUUACAUAUUUCAGUUGGAACUUUAUCCGCCUCGGGGAAAAAAUUUACAGGAUCAACUCAAAUCUGCUGCGGAGCCUUAGUUUGCUUUUGUAAUUUACAUUCCAGAUGAUGUUCGGUUUACUCUUUGCGCACCCAAUUUAGGAGCUGCGGGUUUGGUUCCUCGGCUUCGCCCAAUUGAAGGUCUUGCUGAGGAAGUUGGCACAGGAGCUGCAAUAGCAGCCCAGGGGUCAUUGUCAUCAAGUGCUCCACUUCUUUUCACGUUCAAAGGCUUAGACGAAGGAGCUGGGGCUGCUAUAGCAGCCCAAGGAUCGUCAUCGUCAACCUUUUUGUUUGCUGGCUGAGAAGUUGCUCUUGGAGCAGGAACAGCUAAAGAACCCCACAAAUCUUCAUCGUCAUCUUUACUCAUCUUAAGAGUGGUUUUACCCCGCAAACCAGUUCCUUGUGGUUUUGGUUGAGAGACAG
Molecule: unclassified non-coding RNA, 661 nt
Filed under: Hevea brasiliensis (rubber tree)
Lineage: Eukaryota; Viridiplantae; Streptophyta; Magnoliopsida; Malpighiales; Euphorbiaceae
Source: RNAcentral